GCUCCCAUGGCGUAGUGGUCACUGCACUCGCCUUGCACGCGGGAGACCCAGGUUCGAUUCCCGGUGGGGUCA
This 72-nucleotide transfer RNA is filed under the name Diaphorina citri (Asian citrus psyllid). It matches the Rfam family "tRNA". Rfam says of the family: Transfer RNA (tRNA) molecules are approximately 80 nucleotides in length. Their secondary structure includes four short double-helical elements and three loops (D, anti-codon, and T loops). Lineage: Eukaryota; Metazoa; Arthropoda; Insecta; Hemiptera; Psyllidae. The record is from Rfam by way of RNAcentral.